RNAcentral lists this unclassified non-coding RNA (348 nucleotides) under soil metagenome. RNAcentral describes it as "partial contains 5.8S ribosomal RNA, internal transcribed spacer 2, and large subunit ribosomal RNA". The stretch from base 1 to 120 matches the Rfam family "5.8S ribosomal RNA", at positions 35 to 154 of the family's 154-position model. The record is from RNAcentral.
GAUGAAGAACGCAGCGAAAUGCGAUAAGUAAUGUGAAUUGCAGAAUUCAGUGAAUCAUCGAGUCUUUGAACGCACAUUGCGCCCCCUGGUAUUCCGGGGGGCAUGCCUGACCGAGCGUCAUUGCUGCCCUCAAGCACGGCUUGUGUGUUGGGCCCCGCCCCCCGGCUCCCGGGGGGCGGGCCCGAAAGGCAGCGGCGGCACCGCGUCCGGUCCUCGAGCGUAUGGGGCUUCGUCACCCGCUCCGUAGGCCCGGCCGGCGCCCGCCGGCGACCCCCCUCAAUCUUUUCAGGUUGACCUCGGAUCAGGUAGGGAUACCCGCUGAACUUAAGCAUAUCAAUAAGCGGAGGA